CCUACGGGUGGCAGCAGUCGAGAAUCAUUCACAAUGGGGGAAACCCUGAUGGUGCGACGCCGCGUGGGGGAAUGAAGGUCUUCGGAUUGUAAACCCCUGUCAUGUGGGAGCAAAUUAAAAAGAUAGUACCACAAGAGGAAGAGACGGCUAACUCUGUGCCAGCAGCCGCGGUAAUACAGAGGUCUCAAGCGGUGUUCGGAAUCACUGGGCGUAAAGCGUGCGUAGGCUGUUUCGUAAGUCGUGUGUGAAAGGCGCGGGCUCAACCCGCGGACGGCACAUGAUACUGCGAGACUAGAGUAAUGGAGGGGGAACCGGAAUGCUCGGUGUAGCAGUGAAAUGCGUAGAUAUCGAGAGGAACACUCGUGGCGAAGGCGGGUGACUGGACAUUAACUGACGCUGAGGCACGAAGGCCAGGGGAGCGAAAGGGAUUAGAUACCCCAGUAGUC
RNAcentral lists this ribosomal RNA (446 nucleotides) under uncultured bacterium. RNAcentral describes it as "partial 16S ribosomal RNA". It matches the Rfam family "Bacterial small subunit ribosomal RNA", at positions 338 to 795 of the family's 1533-position model. The record is from RNAcentral.